AAGACUCUACUGACUGGGGUCAUUUCUAUAGUUUGUUACUAAGUAAAGUUUGUUACUAGACAUCACCUUAAACCAUCAAAAGGAAACAGAGCAUCCUCUCCUGAGCGCGAAACCUGUUCUAGAUGAUGCUUUUGAAACUGCCUUUUACCAUUGAUGAUCGUUCUUCUUUUCCUUUGGAAGAGGGAGAGGGAGAGGGAGAGAGUGCAGUCUGAGUGAU
Molecule: small nucleolar RNA, 217 nt
Organism: Sorex fumeus (smoky shrew)
Lineage: Eukaryota; Metazoa; Chordata; Mammalia; Eulipotyphla; Soricidae
Product: small nucleolar RNA U3
Exons: 1
Source: RefSeq, a predicted model, not a curated record